Molecule: ribosomal RNA, 253 nt
Filed under: uncultured Acidobacteriota bacterium
Lineage: Bacteria; Pseudomonadati; Acidobacteriota
Description: uncultured Acidobacteria bacterium partial 16S ribosomal RNA
Rfam family: Bacterial small subunit ribosomal RNA
Source: RNAcentral
GACGUAGGGGGCCAGCGUUGCUCGGAAUAACUGGGCGUAAAGGGUCUGUAGGCGGUGUGGCAAGUCGGGAGUGAAAUGCUGCGGCUCAACUGCAGCGCUGCUUCCGAAACUGCUGCGCUCGAGUGUGGGAGAGGCGAGUGGAAUUGCCGGUGUAGCGGUGAAAUGCGUAGAUAUCGGCAGGAACACCAGUGGCGAAAGCGGCUCGCUGGACCACAACUGACGCUGAAAGACGAAAGCUAGGGGAGCAAACAGG